This 253-nucleotide ribosomal RNA is filed under the name uncultured bacterium. Its description in RNAcentral is "partial 16S ribosomal RNA". It matches the Rfam family "Bacterial small subunit ribosomal RNA", at positions 524 to 776 of the family's 1533-position model. The record is from RNAcentral.
UACGUAGGGGGCAAGCGUUGUCCGGAAUCAUUGGGCGUAAAGGGCUCGUAGGCGGUCUGUCGCGUCGGGAGUGAAAACUCAGGGCUUAACCCUGAGCCUGCUUCCGAUACGGGCAGACUAGAGGUAUGCAGGGGAGAACGGAAUUCCUGGUGUAGCGGUGGAAUGCGCAGAUAUCAGGAGGAACACCGGUGGCGAAGGCGGUUCUCUGGGCAUUACCUGACGCUGAGGAGCGAAAGUGUGGGGAGCGAACAGG